ACCAUCAAGCUUGGGCUUGUCGUUGGACCCCCUUUGCAGCUGAAAUAUGCUGCAGGUCCGAAAGAUAAUGACGGUGUCGUAAUCGACCCUAAAUGCAACGAGCUUUUUUAUAGCACGCAUUGAAGUGGUCGGCCGACCCAGUCUUUAACCAUUUUCUUAAGGUUGACCUCGGAUCAGGUAGGAAUACCCGCUGAACUUAA
This 200-nucleotide unclassified non-coding RNA is filed under the name soil metagenome. RNAcentral describes it as "partial contains internal transcribed spacer 2 and large subunit ribosomal RNA". The record is from RNAcentral.